GCCGCCCCCGCCCCGCGCUCCGAGCCGGGCCGCCGGGCUGCGCCCCGCCUGUGCUGGAGGCGCCGGGGCCAAGUGGGGGAGGGCUCCCCCCGCCCCGCCCGGGGCUGCCAGGUGAGCCCGGAGCAGCAGCGGAGCGGUUGGCUGAUCUCUGAAGGGCUUUAAACUAGGUUCGUCAGGGGACAGGGAAGCAGAGGAUAAGGAAAACCUUAUCAGCGAGCCAUGAGCAUUGCACUGGAUCAGCCCAGGUAAGUAUUUAAGCACUAUGGGGCCUGAUAGACAUCAGGACAGAGGGAGGUACCAAGGGCACCCAUUAGGGGGCUUAAAUGUCUCUACACUGAUGCUGGGGGAACAUAGGGAACAAGCAGGAGGAACUUGCACUCCUGCUUGCAAGCAACAACUUUGACCUGGUUGGACUAACUGAAACCUGGUGGGACCGUUCUCAUGACCGGGCAGUAGGCAUUGAGGGUUACAGGUUGUGCAGACAGGAUAGAGUGGGGAUAAAAGGUGGAGAGGGGUGUUGCUCUCUAUGUUAAGGAACAAUAUACAUCCUCUAUAAUCAAGAUGGGAUCAGAGAAGGGCCAAACUGAGGUACUGUGGGCCAGGAUACAAGGGGGUUGGAGGAAAAGGGACUUGGUAGCGGGGGUCUACUAUAGACUGCCACACCAGGAGGAUGAGCUAGACCUGCAGUUCUCCAGACAGCUCUCAGAGGCCAUACGGUCGACAGAUAUGGUUGUCAUGGGUGACCUAAACUACCCUGGCAUGUGCUGGGAGGAGCAGUCAGCCAAAUCUAACCAUUCACCUAGGCUCUUUACCUGCAUACAGGAUCUCCACCUAACACAGGAGGUAUACGAUCCCACUAAGGGAAAUGUCUUGCUGGACUUGGUGUUAGCUACAGGGGAUGACCUGGGGCAGGAUCUGCAAGUAUAAGGUCACAAAAUGCCUAGAUGCAGGAGUCGAGGUCAAUGUCAUCUACCUAGACUUUAAGAAGCCCUUCAAUAUGGUAUCUCAUUCUGUUCUCAUAAAUAAAAUGACAGACUGUGAUGUAGAUGAUUACAUGGUCAGGUGGGGGGCAAAUUGGCUGAGGAGGUGCACCCAGAGAGUGGUGGUGCACAGGCCGGUAUCAACCUGGAAAGAGGUGGGCAGUGGAGUCCCGCAAGUCUCGAUCCUUGGACCGGUGCUAUUCAAUGUCUUCAUCAGUGACUUGGACAAGGGCAUAGAGAACUCCCUGUCCAAGUUCUCAUGUUACCAAAAUAUGGGGCAAAUUUAACACACCAGAGGGUAGGAAAGGGAUCCAGGCAGAUCUGGACAUGUUGGAAAAAUGGGCAGAACGAAGUAGGAUGCAGUUCAACAAAGACAAGUGCAAAGUGCUGCACCUGGGCAAAAAGAACCACCAACACACUUCCAGGUUGGGGGACGACCUUCUCAGGAGCACAGCAGCAGAAAGGGAUCUUGGAGCUACAGUUGACUCCACAAUGAACAUGAGUCGUCAAUGUGACAAAGUGAUGAACAAGGCUAACUGCACUUUAUCAUACAUUUUUCCUGGAGACCCUACUCCUCAGCCAGCGCCCGCAGGGGGGCAUCGGUGCUCCCGCCCUCCCCCCCGCACAUCAACUAAUUGGGGAGCACUGGCUGUGAGGGGGUGCACCAGCAUGCUCAGGGGGUGCACGUGCACCCCCCAUGCACGCCCUACGCAUCGCCACUGCCCCUUCCUACCCUAACAUCUAUGAAUCUAAUAAAACUAUGAUAUAAACCCAAAAUCCUCAUUUAUCCACAAUUAAAGUGAAACACUGCUAUAUAUAUAGGUAUCAGCUGAACACAAUGUUUUAUUGAUAUAUUUAUAAUUUUAAAGCAAUUUGGAAGAC
Molecule: long non-coding RNA, 1862 nt
Organism: Alligator mississippiensis (American alligator)
Lineage: Eukaryota; Metazoa; Chordata; Crocodylia; Alligatoridae
Exons: 3
Source: RefSeq, a predicted model, not a curated record